GGAAAAUUAAGAGAGAGAGAGAGCCUGAAAACAACAAAACCAAGGAGUAGAACAAACAGUGACUGAGAACCAAGAAGGCAAAAAAAGAAAAAAAGAAAAAAAAGGGAGGAGAAGAACUAUCAGCCAUGUGUGAGGAAGAGUCUACUCCAACCAAGUUAUCGGAUCACCGAAUGCGAAGUCUCCCUCCCUCUAGUUGUAGGCCAGCCUUACAAAAUGGCGAAGCAAAAUAAAAUAAUGCUAUCCAUGCAGGCAUUGACGGGACGGUAACGGGACCUCGACUCACGUGGAUGUCAUGCAGCUUCACCAAAUGACGAAAAUACCCUCCUCCCAACUAAAUCCAUUCCUAGCGUACCGCUCAAGAUCUGCCAGCUCACCUCGCAUAAUUCCGCGGGCUCAAUAAUUCGAUCCCGUAACGAAUCACGGGUGGCACGUUUCGUAAUUUUUCUAGACUACAAGGGCAUUUGACAACGAGUAGGUUCCACCCACUUCCACCCAUGUGGGCGUUGAGCGAUGGCAGAUUCCUUGCAGGAAGAGAGAGAGAGAGAGGAGAGAGAUGCGGUGAUUAUCGGGUGGGGCCCGGUGUAGGGAGGUUUGGGGGG
RNAcentral lists this long non-coding RNA (599 nucleotides) under Elaeis guineensis (African oil palm). RNAcentral describes it as "long non-coding RNA (EGUI_LNC006739)". The record is from RNAcentral. Lineage: Eukaryota; Viridiplantae; Streptophyta; Magnoliopsida; Arecales; Arecaceae.